Long non-coding RNA from Syzygium oleosum, 1112 nucleotides. RefSeq lists it as uncharacterized. The record is from RefSeq and is a predicted model, not a curated record. NCBI's taxonomy places the organism in Eukaryota, Viridiplantae, Streptophyta, Magnoliopsida, Myrtales, Myrtaceae. The transcript has 3 exons.
UAGCCGGCCAAAUGUUCGCCGGAAGACAUUUUCCGGCGACCAAAACAGGGGUAUUUUUGUCCAAAAUUCCGAAUUGUAUUAAGAUCAAAUCUUACAUCAAUUUUUCACGUUUUCUUCUUCCUCAUCCGCUGUUCCUCAAGCAAAUCCUUCUGGCCCGUUCCUCAGUCGCUCUGUGCCCGGUCAUCGCCGCCCAUUGCCCGAUCCUCGUUGCUCCUCGCGACCGUAGUGUGUCUUCCGCGGUCGUCUCUUCUUUCCCAGGUAGGGUGUUCAAACUUGGGUUUGAGUCUGAUUUGUUCGUGACGGACGCCUUGAUCACUUGUAUUCGGCUUUCCAGAAGACCUAGAGUGGCCGCUUGGUGUUUGACGCCGGGUCUGUUCUGGAUUCCAUUCGCUGGAAUGUUACAAUAGAUGGCUAUGUGAUAAAUGCAGAAGUUGGUUCCGGUGCGUUAACUGUUCGAUGAAAUGACUGAGAGGGACGCACUUGGACCUUGAUGAUAAGGGGUUACACUAGGAGAGGCGAGAUGGAAGAGGCGAGACGGUUUUUCGAUAGAAUGCCAUUCAGAGACACCUUUUUGUGGAAUUGUAUCGAUGGAUAUCUUAGCUUUAACAACUUUAAGGGGGAAAUUCCGACGGAGUUUGCAAAUCUUCCUAAACUUUGAUAUCUCUAUCUACAAGAGAAUCAUUUGACAGGAUGAAUUCCACCAGGAUUGUGGCAACUUGCCAUAUCCGCGUCACCCGAUGUUAGCAACAGACAUUUGGUUGGUACUUUGAGGGAACUGACACAAAUGAAGGCUGCUAUCCGCUUUUAGGAACUUGUAAGUAUAAUUGCUGGCAAGUAUGUAGUUAUUAACUCCAGAACCAUCUCGCCUCUUAACCCCCUAUCAUAAAGGUCGAAGUGCAUCUCUCUCAGUCAUUUCAUCGAACAAUUCACGCGCAGAAUCAACUUCUGAAUUCAUCACAUAACAUUUAGCAAUGCAGCAAAAGGAGUCCAGAACAGACACCGCGUCAAACACCAAGCGAGCACUCCGGGGCUUCUUGAAAGCCGAAUACAAGUGAAUCAAGGCAUUGGUCACGAAAAAAUUUGGCUCGCACCCAAGUUUGAACGCCCUAGUU